GGCGCAUUCGUCUAGUGGUCCAGGACGUCAGAUUCUCAGUCUGAAUAUCAAGGGUUCGACUCCCUUAUGCGCUACCA
This 77-nucleotide transfer RNA is filed under the name Bacteroidales bacterium. RNAcentral's name for it is "tRNA-Glu". It matches the Rfam family "tRNA". Rfam says of the family: Transfer RNA (tRNA) molecules are approximately 80 nucleotides in length. Their secondary structure includes four short double-helical elements and three loops (D, anti-codon, and T loops). The record is from RNAcentral. RNAcentral also lists the same sequence under 1 other name. Lineage: Bacteria; Pseudomonadati; Bacteroidota; Bacteroidia; Bacteroidales.